Molecule: ribosomal RNA, 1243 nt
Filed under: metagenome
Description: bacterial LSU rRNA
Rfam family: Bacterial large subunit ribosomal RNA
Source: RNAcentral
UGAAUACGAGACGCUAAGGCGUUGAAGUAGUGUAUGUCAUACUUCCAAGAAAAGCUUGCACUGUCAUAGAUAAAAAACGCCUGUACCAUAACCGACACAGGUGGGUAGGUAGAGUAUACUAAGGGGCGCGAGAUAACUCUCUCUAAGGAACUCGGCAAAAUAACUCCGUAACUUCGGGAAAAGGAGUGCCUUAUUUAUAAGGCUGCAAUAACAAGAUCCAAGCAACUGUUUAUCAAAAACACAGGUCUCCGCUAAGUCGUAAGACGAUGUAUGGGGGCUGACGCCUGCCCAGUGCCAGAAGGUUAAAGAAGUUGGUUAGCAAUAGCGAAGCUGAUAACUGAAGCCCUGGUGAACGGCGGCCGUAACAAUAACGGUCCUAAGGUAGCGAAAUUCCUUGUCGGGUAAGUUCCGACCCGCACGAAAGGCGUAAUGAUUUGGAUACUGUCUCGGAGAGGGGCUCGGUGAAAUAGACUUGUCUGUGAAGAUGCGGACUACCUGCACCAGGACAGAAAGACCCUAUGAAGCUUUACUGUAACUUGAAAUUGAAAUUGGACUUUAUUCGCGCAGUAUAGGUGGGAGGCGUUGAUUGUAAUCUUGCGGGAUUAUUGGAGCCAUCAGUGAGAUACCACCCUUGUAAUGUUAGAUUUCUAACUUUGAAUCAUUAUCUGGUCAAAGAACAGUUUCAGGCGGGCAGUUUGACUGGGGCGGUCGCCUCCUAAACGGUAACGGAGGCGUACAAAGGUUUCCUCUGAACGGUUAGAAAUCGUAUCUAGAGUGUAAAGGCAUAAGGAAGCUUGACUGUGAGACCUACAAGUCGAGCAGGGACGAAAGUCGGUCUUAGUGAUCUGACGGUACUGAGUGGAAAGGCCGUCACUCAACGGAUAAAAGUUACUCUAAGGAUAACAGGCUGAUCUCCCCCAAGAGUUCACAUCGACGGGGAGGUUUGGCACCUCGAUGUCGGCUCAUCGCAUCCUGGGGCGGUAGUACGUCCCAAGGGUUGGGCUGUUCGCCCAUGAAAGCGGUACGCGAGCUGGGUUCAGAAUGUCGUGAGACAGUUCGGUCCAUAUCCGGUGUAGGCGUUAGAAUAUUGAGAGGAGCCUUCUUUAGUACGAGAGGACCGAGAAGGACAUACCUCUGGUGUACCAGUUAUCGUGCCAACGGUAAACGCUGGGUAGCUAUGUAUGGAGUGGAUAACCGCUGAAAGCAUCUAAGUGGGAAGCCCACCUCAAGAUAAGUAUUCUCC